GGGGCGCGCCGCGAGCGCCGCCGCCGGCGCUUCUCCAUCCUCCCCAGCCUUCCCCCGCCGCCGGCGGAGAUUCGGGUAGCUCGGCGCCCGCUCCCCGCGGGGGGGCCCCGUAAGCAGGGAAGGAAGGAGGCGCCGGCGUCCGCCAGGAGCGCCGAGCCCCGCCGCAUCCUCCCGGCGCCCGUUCACUUACGCGCCGCUCCCGAGCCCCCCGCCCGCCUUCCCACGGCCCGGGGGCUGCGGCCGCCCCGGUAACGCCGCAACCCUCUCGCGGCCCCUGCGGCUUCGCGUCAAAGUUUAAUGCGCGCACCUGCCCGCAGCCCGGCCCUCCCGCGCAGCCCGGCCGCAGCGCUUAGUCACCGCGCUCGGGAGGGCAUCGCGCGGAGGUCCCGGCCGCCCCUUACCGGCGAUGCGCAGCACGGCCCGCUCGGCCGGGUCCAGCACGGAGCCGCCGUGGAUCUUCCGCUUGGAACGCUCGUGCUUGGGCAGGUUCCAGGGCAGCGUGUCCCCCGGCGCCGGCGACCCCGUGCCCGACUUCUGGCUGAGGUCCUCCUCCUCGGAGAGAUCGGCGGAGGACGACAUGGAGCAGCGGGUGAGGAAGGAAGCGGAGAGGUCGGAACGAUGGGGUUGCACGGCAGAGCUGAGGAUGAGAAUGCAGCGCACCUACACGGGUCACCAGGGCAGGAGGGAGCGCUGCUGGGGCCUCUCCUCCGUGCCUUCUCUCUGCAGAGAUGUGAUGCCUGCAGGGGACGGGCGACAGCCACAGCGACAUCUGCGAUUUGGGAUUCAAGAUGGGCGCUACCACGUUCGCCCUUUGAAAACACAGCCAGAUGUGGGCCCAGGCACUGUAUUCGGUUUUUAGGGCUAUGCCAGCCUCGGCUGGGAGAGGCACACACCUUUGGGCACUUGGCAGCCCUCAUCCAGCCCAUACAGGCUCCAGGCUGUUGGAUACUAAACGUGCCUAUGUUUUAGGCCUGCCUGGGAGCCCUCUUACUUAGGACGUGCCUUGAAAUCCAUGUGGCUCUGCUUACAGGAGAAAUCUGUGCUGUGAAUGAAUUCUGAUAAAAUUCCUUGCUGCUGUCUGAGCGGCUCUCUUAUCGGCACUCAUGGGAUGGGCAAAUGAGCCGUUAUUAUUACAUCAGGGCUAUUUACCCUUUAAAAAACACAUGAUUCAGAGAAGCAAUAUGAUGCACGAUGUGCUACACGCAGAACUGCCAAUAACAGAAAUGAUCUGCUCAGUGAGGUUCCCUCAUUUGAAGAAGGAGUCUCCCGUAUAAAAGAAGGGGAUCUCUUAUUCCUGGAUGCUUUGCUGACCUUGUUCACUGCUAUGCCAAGCCUCUAUUCUCCCUCUAUUGCUGGAUGGCAAAGUCCAGAGGGCAGGGAGGGAAGGGAUGGAUGCAUGCGAACAACUGACUGAAUUCUUGAUCGCUGUAUAGCAAAGAAGAAACAGCAUGAGGCAGCACGGGAGAAUAGGGUUCCUGUGGCCUGUCCACAGCUCCACACUGUGCAACAACAGUGUUCCCUGCAAUCCCAGCAUCUUGCUUUGGGCCUGUGCCUUCCAUUGGUGCUUGGUAAUGCUCCGUGGUUUUGGAUCUCACAGGCCUGUGAGGAUGGAGGCAGACUUUGCCUUUCAGCAUCUUCACCUUCUUCCUUCCUAGUUUGUAACAGGAAGACGGGAAGGGAUACUCUGUUGGUGUUUACAUAGGAAUGGGAAUAUACAAAGUAGAAUGGCAGUUGUUACUGAAGCUUUGACCGAAUGAGAUCUCAACCCUACAUUUACCUCUCAAAGUGCAGUUAUAAUUUUUAUCCAGAAAGUUUCUCUUUCCUCAGAGGAGCCCUUGGUAGCCAUCCUCACUGAUUAAAUAACUCCUUUCAUAGCUGCUCUUACACUUAGAAACGAGAAGGACUGUCCGGUGACCAUUCUGUAUGUAACACUGAACGGGCCAUGCCCUCUAUGGAGAGAUCCAUUCUAAGAACAAGGAUGCUGCCCCUCUGACCACAGCACUGGGAGGUGAGCUCUGUGAUGAGACCCAGUUCCAAGAAAUUACAUGGAAGGGGCAAAAGUAGAACAGCCUUUGGCAUCUGUGUGUAUUCCCAUUAGCCAUGCUCUUUGAAGUUGUCUUCCUUCAUGCACGCAUGCUUGUUGUCAGUACAAAGAUGGAUGCUUGGAGAGGAAUUUUUCAUAAGAGGAAGACUCACAGCAAAGAAGCCGUGCCAGUGCCAGCUCCCAUCUUAGUUACAGUCCGCUUUCAUCCUCAGCAUUAUUUCUGAGUAAUGUGCACACAGAACCGUCCAACACCAAAGUGUUUGUAAGAAUCUGGGCUUUGCUAUCCCAAAGAUGUUUGUAAUGAAAUUGAACAACUGCUUGGUUUCGCUUGAGCAAAUGAACAGCUUUGAUAAAAAGUCUCAAAUAAGCAUUCCACGAUUAGAGCAGCUUAGUAACCAAUUUGGGGGGGGGGGGGAUAAAAUAGAGCAUUUAUAAUAUCCUAUAAUUUCCUCGUUGAUCAGAACAAAAUGUGAAAAAAAAAAAACCAAACUGGUUAUAUUGGGUUAAAAUAAAAAUUAUGGAAGGCAUCUCUAUUGUUACAUUGCUGUAAGCAAGUGAAAAUUAUACCUGUUGUACACGAUCCGCUCAAACCUGAAUCUCAGGCCACUCCUUCCCUGCCUGCCCUGAGACGGAGGGAAGGUCAGGGCUGACCCUCGGAGCAGGAAGGCCCCAUCCCUGAUGCUGCCGCUGCUUACUCUGUGCCUCGGCCCCGUUGUGCAUUCCUCCUGCUCGUUAGGCUGAGGACUCAUCCGUCGCCUCUGUUGUCGGGCACGGCCGGGGGGAGCUGUUGCAUUUGCACGUUAUGUAUGCCUACAGCAGCUUGCGCACCGAAGCCUGCCGGUCGUACAUAAGCAAACCUAGGCUCAGUGCUGCCUGCGUUAGGGCAUUAGUGCUGACGCACGGCUUCUCCGGCAGCGCCGCAGGGGGGUGCAAAGCACCCGCAGCCCGCAUCGCUCCCGGCGGCUGCGGCGUCCCGGAGAGCAGCGCGCAUCGCUGCCGGCACCCGCGCCGUUCCCUGCCUCAGUGACACAGCAGCUGUCUGAGUCAGGCUGCCUGCUGCGCUGUAACCGCUAGCUGGUUUCCAGUAAGGGGGGGGAUUUCAAAGAAGUAACAGCACGCUUCUUGUAAGCGGGGUUUGGCGAAGGACCAAGUGAUGAUUCUCUUUUGAGGGGACAAAAGUGGACUGUUUGUGGUAAGGACGGCUCUACAGAUGAUAGGUGGAAAAAAAAGUUAAAAGGCUGUAGCCGGCAAAUGGUGUGAGCUGACACGCAGCACCACGCCUCCAUCUCAUCAGGCACACCCAAACAGGAUCUGAACCUCCUGAAUGCUGCUGGGUUUUGCACUGUCAUUCCUCAAAGGGAAAGAUGAGCAGAGAUUCACUUUGAACAUCAUAGAACUGCUCAGGUUGCAAAAGACCUUAAAGAUCAUCGAGUCCAACCACAACCUAACCAUGCUACCCUAACUCUAACAACCCUCCGCUAAAUCAUGGCCCUGAGCACCACAUCCAAAUGGUUUUUAAACACAUGCAGGGAUGGUGACUCAACCACCUCCCUGGGAGCCUAUGCCAGUGCUUAAUAACCCUUUCUGUAAAGAAGUGUUUCCUGAUAUCCAACCUAAACUUAUCCUUGUGCAACUUAAGGCCAUUUCCCCUCAUCCUGUCACCUGUCACCAGUGAGAUGAGACCAACCCCACUCUCACUGUAAGCACCUUUCAGAUAUUGAAAGAGAGCAAUAAGGUCUCCCCUCAGCCUCCUUAUCCCCAGACUAAACAGCCUCAGUUCCUUCAGUCUCUCCUUGUAGGGCAUAUUCUCCAAGCCCUUCACAAGCCUUGUUGCCCUUCUCUGGACCUGCUGCAGCACUUCUUUGUCCUUUCUGUACUGAGGUGCCCAAAACUGAACACAGUACUGGAGGUGAGGCCUCAGCAACACCGAGUACAGGGGCAGGAUUAUUUCCCUAGUCGUGCUCACCACACCAUUCCUGAUAUGAGCCAGGAUGCCAUUGGCCUUCUUGGUCACCUGGGCACACUGCUGGCUCAUAUUCAGCUGAACAUCAGGAGGCUUUGAACUGCCUGCCAUGCAAUCCAGGCAGCAGGAACAGCUGGGAGGCUGAGACUGAAUGAUCAUUGCAUUGUAAAGUUCCCCGUCUUUAUGGCACUGGGGUUUGUGCUGCGCAACUGAAUCCUAAUACAGAAGAAUCUUCUUUGAGAAGAAAUUCCUUUCACUUUGCUUUUUGGAAGCUUUUGGGAAGUAGAGAAAGAACAUUGCCUCAUGCUUCUGACUGAGAUUAAACCCUCAGUUUAGAUAGGAGUUCUUCAUGUUUCAUUCUACUAAACUAUUUCAGAGCUUAUGGAAUACAUUUUCUUUUCUUUUGUGGCGUUCAUUGUGGACAAUGAAUAAACAUGAGCAGAUAUAAAAUGUUGAA
This is a long non-coding RNA of Gallus gallus (chicken), 4464 nucleotides long. RefSeq lists it as uncharacterized. The transcript is spliced from 2 exons. NCBI's taxonomy places the organism in Eukaryota, Metazoa, Chordata, Aves, Galliformes, Phasianidae. The record is from RefSeq and is a predicted model, not a curated record.